Molecule: ribosomal RNA, 443 nt
Filed under: uncultured bacterium
Lineage: Bacteria
Description: partial 16S ribosomal RNA
Rfam family: Bacterial small subunit ribosomal RNA
Source: RNAcentral
CCUACGGGAGGCUGCAGUGGGGAAUAUUGGGCAAUGGGCGCAAGCCUGACCCAGCAACGCCGCGUGAAGGAAGAAGGCCCUCGGGUUGUAAACUUCUUUUAACAGGGACGAAGAAAGUGACGGUACAUGUUGAAUAAGCCACGGCUAACUACGUGCCAGCAGCCGCGGUAAUACGUAGGUGGCAAGCGUUAUCCGGAUUUACUGGGUGUAAAGGGCGUGUAGGCGGGAGAGCAAGUCAGAUGUGAAAUUCCAGGGCUCAACCCUGGAACUGCGUUUGAAACUGUGCUUCUUGAGGGAUGGAGAGGAAGGCGGAAUUCCGUGUGUAGCGGUGAAAUGCGUAGAGAUACGGAGGAACACCAGUGGCGAAGGCGGCCUGCUGGACAUUAACUGACGCUGAGGCUCGAAAGCGUGGGGAGCAAACAGGAUUAGAUACCCCUGUAGUC